This 253-nucleotide ribosomal RNA is filed under the name uncultured bacterium. Its description in RNAcentral is "partial 16S ribosomal RNA". It matches the Rfam family "Bacterial small subunit ribosomal RNA", at positions 524 to 776 of the family's 1533-position model. The record is from RNAcentral.
UACGUAGGGGGCAAGCGUUGUCCGGAAUUAUUGGGCGUAAAGAGCGUGUAGGCGGUCCGGUAAGUCAGCUGUGAAAGUCAAGGGCUCAACCCUUGAAUGCCGGUUGAUACUGUCGGGCUAGAGUCCGGAAGGGGCGAGUGGAAUUCCCGGUGUAGCGGUGAAAUGCGCAGAUAUCGGGAGGAACACCAAUGGCGAAGGCAGCUCGCUGGGACGGUACUGACGCUGAGACGCGAAAGCGUGGGGAGCAAACAGG